This 840-nucleotide ribosomal RNA is filed under the name Phaeobotryon cupressi. Its description in RNAcentral is "eukaryotic LSU rRNA". It matches the Rfam family "Eukaryotic large subunit ribosomal RNA", at positions 87 to 945 of the family's 3401-position model. Lineage: Eukaryota; Fungi; Ascomycota; Dothideomycetes; Botryosphaeriales; Botryosphaeriaceae. The record is from RNAcentral.
CGGCGAGUGAAGCGGCAACAGCUCAAAUUUGAAAGCUGGCUCCUUCGGAGUCCGCAUUGUAAUUUGUAGAGGAUGAUUCGGCGAGGGCUCCCGCCUAAGUCCACUGGAACGUGGCGUCAUAGAGGGUGAGAAUCCCGUAUGCGGUGGGUUGCCUUAGCCAUGUGAAUCUCCUUCGACGAGUCGAGUUGUUUGGGAAUGCAGCUCUAAAUGGGAGGUAAAUUUCUUCUAAAGCUAAAUACCGGCCAGAGACCGAUAGCGCACAAGUAGAGUGAUCGAAAGAUGAAAAGCACUUUGGAAAGAGAGUUAAAAAGUACGUGAAAUUGUUGAAAGGGAAGGGCUUGCAACCAGACUUGUCCGCAGUUGCUCAGCCGGUCUCCUGACCGGCGUACUCUUCUGCGGCCAGGCCAGCAUCAGUUCGGGCGGUCGGAUAAAGACCCGGGGAAUGUAGCUCCUCUCGGGGAGUGUUAUAGCCCUGGGUGGAAUGCGACCAGCCUGGACUGAGGAUCUCGCUUCGGCAAGGAUGCUGGCGUAAUGGUUGUAAGCCGCCCGUCUUGAAACACGGACCAAGGAGUCUAACAUCUAUGCGAGUGUUUGGGUGUCAAACCCAUACGCGUAAUGAAAGUGAACGGAGGUGGGAACCCGCAAGGGCGCACCAUCGGCCGAUCCUGAUGUCUUCGGAUGGAUUUGAGCAAGAGCAUAGCUGUUGGGACCCGAAAGAUGGUGAACUAUGCCUGAAUAGGGUGAAGCCAGAGGAAACUCUGGUGGAGGCUCGCAGCGGUUCUGACGUGCAAAUCGAUCGUCAAAUUUGGGUAUAGGGGCGAAAGACUAAUCGAACCAUCU